Molecule: non-coding RNA, 83 nt
Organism: Canis lupus familiaris (dog)
Lineage: Eukaryota; Metazoa; Chordata; Mammalia; Carnivora; Canidae
Source: Rfam
GCCCGGGGGGCUCAGCGGUUGAGCAUCUGCCUUUGGCUCAUGUCGUGACCCCGGGGUCGUGGGAUCGAGUCCCGCUUCGGGCU